CGGCAGUUGGAGGUGGAAGGUGAUACUGACGGGUGGGGCCCGCCCGUCAGUGGCUCAGGGGCGCGCGCUGGGCUGCGGCCGGGCUCGACGCGCUAAGGUAAGUGGGCCGGUUCGGCCCAUUUGGCCGGGCCGGCCGUUUCUUUUUUUUUGUUCAUUUUUUUUCUAUUUUCUGUUUUUGAAUACUACUUUUGAUUCAAAGCUCCAAAUCAAACCAAAUAAAAUGCAAAAAAAUUUGUAAAAUCAUAUCUUCAUAUGAUUUAACCUCCGGGACAAGAAUUCCCUCAAGAUAAAAUAUUUAAAAAUACUUUUUCCUAUAAACUAGCCUUUAGGGCUUUUUAGCUAUUAAAAAAUUUAGUGUUUCAAAUCCAAUUCA
This 373-nucleotide long non-coding RNA is filed under the name Brachypodium distachyon (stiff brome). RNAcentral's name for it is "long non-coding RNA (BDIS_LNC004723)". Lineage: Eukaryota; Viridiplantae; Streptophyta; Magnoliopsida; Poales; Poaceae. The record is from RNAcentral.